Molecule: ribosomal RNA, 497 nt
Filed under: uncultured bacterium
Lineage: Bacteria
Description: partial 16S ribosomal RNA
Rfam family: Bacterial small subunit ribosomal RNA
Source: RNAcentral
GAUGAACGCUGGCGGCGUGCCUAAUACAUGCAAGUCGAGCGAACGGACGAGAAGCUUGCUUUUCUGAUGUUAGCGGCGGACGGGUGAGUAACACGUGGAUAACCUACCUAUAAGACUGGGAUAACUUCGGGAAACCGGAGCUAAUACCGGAUAAUAUUUUGAACCGCAUGGUUCAAAAGUGAAAGACGGUCUUGCUGUCACUUAUAGAUGGAUCCUCGCUGCAUUAGCUAGUUGGUAAGGUAACGGCUUACCAAGGCAACGAUGCAUAGCCGACCUGAGAGGGUGAUCGGCCACACUGGAACUGAGACACGGUCCAGACUCCUACGGGAGGCAGCAGUAGGGAAUCUUCCGCAAUGGGCGAAAGCCUGACGGAGCAACGCCGCGUGAGUGAUGAAGGUCUUCGGAUCGUAAAACUCUGUUAUUAGGGAAGAACAUAUGUGUAAGUAACUGUGCACAUCUUGACGGUACCUAAUCAGAAAGCCACGGCUAACUACGUG